GUGCAACACCGGAGGCGCGUCGUUUAGAAACAGGCGCGUUUGUGUGGUUCAGUGACUCAGGAACAUGUUGGGGCAAGUACCAACGUCAAAAACUUUGAAAUAGCUGUUUAUAUGUAUUUAACUGUAUAAACCUCCACAUUAAGUUAUCGUCUUUAGGCGUUUAUCGUGUGAAGGUCGACAGAAUGUUUAUUCGUAAUCAUGUGACGUCUGUAGUUGCCAUCAUGUACCAGUGCACCUCCCUCCCUAUGAGAAACUUCUCUGUCUGCCGAUACCUAAGCUCCCCAAAAAGACGCAGCUCAUACAGUUUAGUAGACAGUGAGCGGUACUCCUCUCUCGUAAAGUCGGUCAUGUCCUCCAAAGUCAGCUCCCAAACUCCAGAGACUCUACUUGCGGAAGAUGAGCACAUCUAUGGACGCAUAGUCAAGGCUCAUAUACCCCCCACAGUGUCCGAGAUGAGGGAACCUAAAUCCCUCCAUCCGUUCUUGCUUCAUGAAAAGACUGAAGAAACAGACGAGGCAGAGUCAGCACCUCCACUACGGAUCAUUCUAAAAAGGGGUCAAGACAGGGCUUCCAUACCGAGUGUGACGCGUGUUCUUCAGCAGACGCUUUCCUCGGAACAGAUCUUUUAUCUGGAGAGAUGGAAGAAGAAAAUGAUUGCGGAACUUGGAGAAGAUGGCUUCAAGGAGUACAGUCAAAACUUAUUUAGGCAAGGGAAACGUUUCCAUACAGCACUGGAUGACAUUCUGAUGUCAGAUGCAACACAGAAGGACGAAUAUGCUUCGGACACACUAGAGCUUCCUCCUGAAAUUCAGGGUUACGUGGAGAGCAUCUCUCACAUACUGGAAGAUGUUAGUGCUGUGAGAGCUAUUGAAAGCACUGUACAACAUGACACCUUAAAGUAUCUGGGAAUUGUGGAUUGUGUUGCUCGCUACAGAGGUGUACUUUGUGUUAUUGACUGGAAGACGUCAGAAAAGCCAAAGCCAUUCCUGAGCAACACGUACGACAACCCCAUUCAAGUGGCAGCCUAUGCUGGGGCUCUGAACAACGACGGCAACUACAAAUACCAGGUUGAACAUGGACUCAUUGUAGUGGCCUAUAAGGAUGGCUCACCAGCACACGCUCAUAAGUUGAGCUCAGAGCUGAUGCUGCAGUACUGGAACAUUUGGUUGCAACGUCUUGAGAAGUUUACAGAACUGAGUUCCAGUCACGUGUCAAGUGCCUUCUCGCAAAAGAAAUGAGAUGUUGAAGAGAGUUCUGUAAGUACAUAUCAAAGAAGGCUCUGAACCCAAAGGAAAAAUACAGUAUAACUAUGCUUACCAUGCUGUAGGAUGUCAACACUUAUCUCGCCCCUUUUCUGUGCUACAAAAGAUAAAUUAUUAUGGUGAGGUGCUACACGAGGAUCCAGGAGAAGAUGGAGGUGCCCAAUACUAAAACUCAAGUCAAAAUCCCAAGCAUGGAUUAUAUAACUACACACGUGCCACAGUCCCCAGGUGAUAUACCUUAUGCUCAAGAUUAAAAUGUCUUUAAAAUAUCAGUAGUGGUGAUCAACCUUUUACAUGACAUACCCAAAUAUCAGCUACACAUUCCUAGUAAUUGAAUUGAAUCCACCCUGCCCUGUAUGAGGGAUCCUCAGUGAAGCCAAGGUUUUUAAAGAGCCUGUAGGAAAUGAUGUUGUCUUCCUCGAUAAAGCAGAAGACUGGGUGGCCCUCAGCACGGAGUCUUUUUGCCAUAGUGCUGACAAGAACUUUGGCAUACCCUUUCCCUCUGUGCUCUGGCACAGUGUACAACAGGCCCAUGGCACAGUACUCGUACAACAGAAUCCAGGACACCGGCUGAUCUUGUCCGUCAGUGAUGCAGUACGACGGAUAAUUGCUAAUGAAAUGUUUAACGGUGUUGUAACUCUGCUCAUUCCCUCCAAACUUCCAUGUUUUAUUCACCAAGUCAACAUGGGAAAUGUCAAGGGAGGAAAUCCUUGAUUCAAGAUCACUGCAGGGAAAGAGAAAUUUAUGAUAGCAUUAACUGAUUAGGAAAACUUCUACUUUCAUAUACAGAUUUAAGUGAAAAAUCUUUAAAGUAUACUGAAGUUUUAAGAGCGUACUUAUCAACUGUUGGUGUGAGAAGAUGGCUGCUGUCUGCCAAAUACACAAGGCGACCCACAGACUUGUAUCUAAACUUAACAUCUCUCACAGAAGACACUUCUUUAAGUAUGGGUAUUUGGGACAAGUCAAAUCCUGAAGUAAAAAAAGAAAGAUUUGAAACCAUGUACCAUAUUAUGAGCUAAAUAUACUUCAAAUAACAAAAGUGAAAGUAUCCACUACAGAAAAAACUUAAACAUGCUUGUGGCAUAUUCUUACUGUGAUAAUAAAUGUGUUUUUAAGACUGU
This is an RNA transcript of Solea senegalensis (Senegalese sole), 2383 nucleotides long. It is a transcript of the gene named mitochondrial genome maintenance exonuclease 1, with no coding region annotated. The record is from RefSeq and is a predicted model, not a curated record. NCBI's taxonomy places the organism in Eukaryota, Metazoa, Chordata, Actinopteri, Pleuronectiformes, Soleidae. The transcript has 6 exons.